AUGCGGCGCCAACGGAAGCGUAGGGCCAAGGUACAGGCCCCGCCCAAUCCGGUCACAUUUCCGGAAUUCUCGCCGCUCCCCUUAGCUCCGCCCCCAGUCGCUUUCCAGCUUGCGCGUGAGCUGCCGCACCUGGCCCUGUUGGAUGAAUUUAAGCAACAAGGACUCCAACAAGGACACACUCCCUGUGGCACUGCCAUAUUUUUGGGAGCACUUUGAUGAGGAUGGCUAGUCCCUGUGAUACUCAGAGUAUCGCUGCCCUGAUGAACUCACUCAGUCAGAUCUUCAUGAGCUGCAAUCUCAUCACUGGAAUGUUCCAGCGACUGGACAAGCUGAGGAAGAAUGCCUUCACCAGUUUCAUCCCCUUUGGAACCAACAAUAGCAGCUCCGUUUCUAGAGUCUGGGUCUUCCGAGGCCAGGAGCUUGCCUUUCCUCUGAGUGCAAAUUGGCAGGUGGACUAUGAAUCAUACACACGGAGGAAACUGGAUCCUGGCAGCGAGGAGACACUUGGAAUCCAAAUAUAUUCAUAGGGAAAGUUCGAGAGUACUUUUCCUGGGAGGGGACCUUCCAGCAUGUUGGCCAAGACUUCAAUCAGGGCACGAUCUUCAAGUGA
RNA transcript from Mandrillus leucophaeus (drill), 610 nucleotides. It is a transcript of the gene named elongation factor 1-gamma pseudogene, with no coding region annotated. Lineage: Eukaryota; Metazoa; Chordata; Mammalia; Primates; Cercopithecidae. The transcript has 2 exons. The record is from RefSeq and is a predicted model, not a curated record.